GCUGGGCAUGGUGGCACAUGCCUGUAAUCCCAGUGGCCAGGGAGGCUGAGGCAGGAGGAUCAUGAGUUCAAAUACAGCUUCAGCAAUUUAGCAAGGCCCUAAGCAGCUUGACAAGACCCUGUCUUAA
Molecule: small RNA, 127 nt
Filed under: Marmota monax (woodchuck)
Lineage: Eukaryota; Metazoa; Chordata; Mammalia; Rodentia; Sciuridae
Source: RNAcentral